This 117-nucleotide ribosomal RNA is filed under the name candidate division WWE3 bacterium RIFCSPLOWO2_01_FULL_42_11. The record is from RNAcentral. Lineage: Bacteria; candidate division WWE3.
CUCGGUCUUUUGAGCGCCUUGGAACCACCUCUUCCCAUUCCGAACAGAGAAGUGAAACAGGGCAGCGCUGAUGAUAUUGUGGGGGCAACUCCAUGAGAAAGCAGGUCAAGGCCGGGA